GAACAUGUCCUGUAGUGGGGGAUAGCCCGGCGAAAGCCGGAUUAAUACCGCAUACGAUCUGAGGAUGAAAGCGGGGGACCUUCGGGCCUCGCGCUAUAGGGUUGGCCGAUGGCUGAUUAGCUAGUUGGUGGGGUAAAGGCCUACCAAGGCGACGAUCAGUAGCUGGUCUGAGAGGACGACCAGCCACACUGGGACUGAGACACGGCCCAGACUCCUACGGGAGGCAGCAGUGGGGAAUUUUGGACAAUGGGCGAAAGCCUGAUCCAGCAAUGCCGCGUGUGUGAAGAAGGCCUUCGGGUUGUAAAGCACUUUUGUCCGGAAAGAAAUCCUUGGUUCUAAUAUAGCCGGGGGAUGACGGUACCGGAAGAAUAAGCACCGGCUAACUACGUGCCAGCAGCCGCGGUAAUACGUAGGGUGCAAGCGUUAAUCGNAAUUACUGGGCGUAAAGCGUGCGCAGGCG
RNAcentral lists this ribosomal RNA (460 nucleotides) under uncultured Burkholderia sp. RNAcentral's name for it is "bacterial SSU rRNA". It matches the Rfam family "Bacterial small subunit ribosomal RNA", at positions 122 to 577 of the family's 1533-position model. The record is from RNAcentral. Lineage: Bacteria; Pseudomonadati; Pseudomonadota; Betaproteobacteria; Burkholderiales; Burkholderiaceae.